Molecule: ribosomal RNA, 451 nt
Filed under: uncultured bacterium
Lineage: Bacteria
Description: partial 16S ribosomal RNA
Rfam family: Bacterial small subunit ribosomal RNA
Source: RNAcentral
UAGGGAAUCUUCCACAAUGGACGCAAGUCUGAUGGAGCAACGCCGCGUGAGUGAAGAAGGCUUUCGGGUCGUAAAACUCUGUUAUUGAAGAAGAACGUGCGUGACAGUAACUGGUCAUGCAGUGACGGUAUUCAAUCAGAAAGUCACGGCUAACUACGUGCCAGCAGCCGCGGUAAUACGUAGGUGGCAAGCGUUGUCCGGAUUUAUUGGGCGUAAAGCGAGUGCAGGCGGUCUUUUAAGUCUGAUGUGAAAGCCUUCGGCUUAACCGAAGAAGGGCAUCGGAAACUGGGAGACUUGAGUGCAGAAGAGGAGAGUGGAACUCCAUGUGUAGCGGUGAAAUGCGUAGAUAUAUGGAAGAACACCAGUGGCGAAGGCGGCUCUCUGGUCUGUAACUGACGCUGAGGCUCGAAAGCGUGGGUAGCAAACAGGAUUAGAUACCCUGGUAGUCCAC